RNAcentral lists this ribosomal RNA (460 nucleotides) under uncultured bacterium. RNAcentral describes it as "partial 16S ribosomal RNA". It matches the Rfam family "Bacterial small subunit ribosomal RNA", at positions 338 to 795 of the family's 1533-position model. The record is from RNAcentral.
CCUACGGGAGGCAGCAGUGAGGAAUAUUGGUCAAUGGACGAGAGUCUGAACCAGCCAAGUAGCGUGAAGGAUGACUGCCCUAUGGGUUGUAAACUUCUUUUAUAUGGGAAUAAAAUGCUCUACGUGUGGGAUUUUGUAUGUACCAUAUGAAUAAGGAUCGGCUAACUCCGUGCCAGCAGCCGCGGUAAUACGGAGGAUCCGAGCGUUAUCCGGAUUUAUUGGGUUUAAAGGGAGCGUAGGUGGAUUGUUAAGUUAGUUGUGAAAGUUUGCGGCUUAACCGUAAUAUUGCAGUUGAGACUGGCAGUCUUGAGAACAGUAGAGGUAGGCGGAAUUCGUGGUGUAGCGGUGAAAUGCUUAGAUAUCACGAAGAACUCCGAUUGCGAAGGCAGUUCACUGGACUGCAACUGACACUGAGGCUCGAAAGUGUGGGUAUCGAACAGGAUUAGAUACCCCAGUAGUC